AGGCAGCUUGGCCGAGUGGUUAAGGCGACAGACUAGAAAUCUGUUGGGAUUCUCCCGCGCAGGUUCGAAUCCUGCAGCUGUCG
Babesia caballi is the source of this 83-nucleotide non-coding RNA. Lineage: Eukaryota; Apicomplexa; Aconoidasida; Piroplasmida; Babesiidae. The record is from the annotation of a GenBank genome assembly.